This 428-nucleotide ribosomal RNA is filed under the name uncultured bacterium. Its description in RNAcentral is "partial 16S ribosomal RNA". It matches the Rfam family "Bacterial small subunit ribosomal RNA", at positions 354 to 796 of the family's 1533-position model. The record is from RNAcentral.
GUAGGGAAUAUUGCGCAAUGGACGAAAGUCUGACGCAGCGACGCCGCGUGAGUGAUGAAGGCCUUAGGGUCGUAAAGCUCUGUUGAAUGGGAAGAAAAAAAUGACGGUACCAUUCGAGGAAGGACCGGCUAACUUCGUGCCAGCAGCCGCGGUAAUACGAGGGGUCCUAGCGUUGUUCGGAAUCAUUGGGCGUAAAGGGUGUGUAGGUGGCCAUGUAAGUCAGGUGUGAAAGCGCCGGGCUCAACCCGGGAAGUGCACUUGAUACUGCGUGGCUUGAGUACCGAAGAGGGUAGUGGAAUUCCAGGUGUAGUGGUGAAAUACGUAGAUAUCUGGAGGAACACCGGUGGCGAAGGCGGCUACCUGGUCGAGUACUGACACUGAGACACGAAAGCAUGGGGAUCAAACAGGAUUAGAAACCCGUGUAGUCC